RNAcentral lists this transfer RNA (69 nucleotides) under Dipus sagitta (northern three-toed jerboa). Its description in RNAcentral is "tRNA-His". It matches the Rfam family "tRNA". Rfam says of the family: Transfer RNA (tRNA) molecules are approximately 80 nucleotides in length. Their secondary structure includes four short double-helical elements and three loops (D, anti-codon, and T loops). Further hydrogen bonds mediate the characteristic L-shaped molecular structure. tRNAs have two regions of fundamental functional importance: the anti-codon, which is responsible for specific mRNA codon recognition, and the 3' end, to which the tRNAs corresponding amino acid is attached (by aminoacyl-tRNA synthetases). tRNAs cope with the degeneracy of the genetic code in two manners: having more than one tRNA (with a specific anti-codon) for a particular amino acid; and 'wobble' base-pairing, i.e. permitting non-standard base-pairing at the 3rd anti-codon position. Lineage: Eukaryota; Metazoa; Chordata; Mammalia; Rodentia; Dipodidae. The record is from RNAcentral.
GUAGAUAUAGUUUACUAAAAACACUAGACUGUGAAUCUAGAAAUAAAAGAUUACAUCUUUUUAUCUACC